UGGUCCCUAUUCACUUAGCGGCGGACGGGUGAGUAAUGCUUAGGAAUCUGCCUAUUAGUGGGGGACAACAUUUCGAAAGGAAUGCUAAUACCGCAUACGUCCUACGGGAGAAAGCAGGGGAUCUUCGGACCUUGCGCUAAUAGAUGAGCCUAAGUCGGAUUAGCUAGUUGGUGGGGUAAAGGCCUACCAAGGCGACGAUCUGUAGCGGGUCUGAGAGGAUGAUCCGCCACACUGGGACUGAGACACGGCCCAGACUCCUACGGGAGGCAGCAGUGGGGAAUAUUGGACAAUGGGCGCAAGCCUGAUCCAGCCAUGCCGCGUGUGUGAAGAAGGCCUUAUGGUUGUAAAGCACUUUAAGCGAGGAGGAGGCUACUGGAGUUAAUACCUUCAGAUAGUGGACGUUACUCGCAGAAUAAGCACCGGCUAACUCUGUGCCAGCAGCCGCGGUAAUACAGAGGGUGCAAGCGUUAAUCGGAUUUACUGGGCGUAAAGCGCGCGUAGGCGGCUAAUUAAGUCAAAUGUGAAAUCCCCGAGCUUAACUUGGGAAUUGCAUUCGAUACUGGUUAGCUAGAGUGUGGGAGAGGAUGGUAGAAUUCCAGGUGUAGCGGUGAAAUGCGUAGAGAUCUGGAGGAAUACCGAUGGCGAAGGCAGCCAUCUGGCCUAACACUGACGCUGAGGUGCGAAAGCAUGGGGAGCAAACAGGAUUAGAUACCCUGGUAGUCCAUGCCGUAAACGAUGUCUACUAGCCGUUGGGGCCUUUGAGGCUUUAGUGGCGCAGCUAACGCGAUAAGUAGACCGCCUGGGGAGUACGGUCGCAAGACUAAAACUCAAAUGAAUUGACGGGGGCCCGCACAAGCGGUGGAGCAUGUGGUUUAAUUCGAUGCAACGCGAAGAACCUUACCUGGCCUUGACAUAGUAAGAACUUUCCAGAGAUGGAUUGGUGCCUUCGGGAACUUACAUACAGGUGCUGCAUGGCUGUCGUCAGCUCGUGUCGUGAGAUGUUGGGUUAAGUCCCGCAACGAGCGCAACCCUUUUCCUUAUUUGCCAGCGAGUAAUGUCGGGAACUUUAAGGAUACUGCCAGUGACAAACUGGAGGAAGGCGGGGACGACGUCAAGUCAUCAUGGCCCUUACGGCCAGGGCUACACACGUGCUACAAUGGUCGGUACAAAGGGUUGCUACCUAGCGAUAGGAUGCUAAUCUCAAAAAGCCGAUCGUAGUCCGGAUUGGAGUCUGCAACUCGACUCCAUGAAGUCGGAAUCGCUUAGUAAAUUCGGCGGAUUUUCAAA
RNAcentral lists this ribosomal RNA (1287 nucleotides) under Acinetobacter sp. Its description in RNAcentral is "bacterial SSU rRNA". It matches the Rfam family "Bacterial small subunit ribosomal RNA", at positions 77 to 1366 of the family's 1533-position model. The record is from RNAcentral. Lineage: Bacteria; Pseudomonadati; Pseudomonadota; Gammaproteobacteria; Moraxellales; Moraxellaceae.